This 253-nucleotide ribosomal RNA is filed under the name uncultured bacterium. Its description in RNAcentral is "partial 16S ribosomal RNA". It matches the Rfam family "Bacterial small subunit ribosomal RNA", at positions 524 to 776 of the family's 1533-position model. The record is from RNAcentral.
UACGUAGGGUGCAAGCGUUGUCCGGAAUUAUUGGGCGUAAAGAGCUUGUAGGCGGUUUGUCGCGUCUGCUGUGAAAUUUCGGGGCUCAACCCCGAACUUGCAGUGGGUACAGGCAGACUAGAGUGUGGUAGGGGAGACUGGAAUUCCUGGUGUAGCGGUGAAAUGCGCAGAUAUCAGGAGGAACACCGAUGGCGAAGGCAGGUCUCUGGGCCACUACUGACGCUGAGAAGCGAAAGCAUGGGGAGCGAACAGG